This 504-nucleotide ribosomal RNA is filed under the name Triticum aestivum (bread wheat). Its description in RNAcentral is "partial small subunit ribosomal RNA". The record is from RNAcentral. Lineage: Eukaryota; Viridiplantae; Streptophyta; Magnoliopsida; Poales; Poaceae.
AUGCUGCGCGCGGCGGGGAAGAGGCUGAUCGGCGCUGCGGGGAUCCGCCCAGCGGCCGCCGGAGACUCCCCCGGCGCGGCGAUGGCUGUGGCGGCGAGGAGGGGGUACCACGAGCGGGUGGUGGACCACUACACCAACCCACGCAACGUGGGGGCGUUCGACAAGGACGACGCCGACGUCGGCACGGGGCUCGUCGGCGCGCCCGCCUGCGGGGACGUCAUGAAGAUGCAGAUCCGCGUGGACCAGGCCUCCGGCAGGAUCGUCGACGCCUGCUUCAAGACCUUCGGCUGCGGCUCCGCCAUCGCAUCCUCCUCCGUCGCCACUGAGUGGGUGAAGGGAAAGCAGAUGGAGGAAGUGGUAGCGAUCAAGAACACAGAGAUCGCCAAGCAUCUGUCGCUGCCGCCGGUGAAGCUCCACUGCAGCAUGCUCGCCGAGGACGCCAUCAAGGCCGCAGUCAAGGACUACGAGGCCAAGAAGACGAAGCCGGCCAAGGCAGACGAGUAG